UACGUAGGGUGCGAGCGUUGUCCGGAAUUACUGGGCGUAAAGAGCUCGUAGGUGGUUUGUCACGUCGUCUGUGAAAUUCCGGGGCUUAACCUCGGGCGUGCAGGCGAUACGGGCAAUACUUGAGUGCUGUAGGGGAGACUGGAAUUCCUGGUGUAGCGGUGAAAUGCGCAGAUAUCAGGAGGAACACCGAUGGCGAAGGCAGGUCUCUGGGCCACUACUGACGCUGAGAAGAGAAAGCAUGGGGAGCGAACAGGAUUAGA
Molecule: ribosomal RNA, 260 nt
Filed under: uncultured prokaryote
Description: partial 16S ribosomal RNA
Rfam family: Bacterial small subunit ribosomal RNA
Source: RNAcentral